AGAAGGUUAUUGGUUUACUGCUGCUAACGGUAAAGAGGAUUAUAAGUAAUCCGACUUUCUU
This 61-nucleotide transfer RNA is filed under the name Ogmocotyle sikae. RNAcentral describes it as "tRNA-Ser". Lineage: Eukaryota; Metazoa; Platyhelminthes; Trematoda; Plagiorchiida; Notocotylidae. The record is from RNAcentral.